Molecule: ribosomal RNA, 244 nt
Filed under: uncultured bacterium
Lineage: Bacteria
Description: partial 16S ribosomal RNA
Rfam family: Bacterial small subunit ribosomal RNA
Source: RNAcentral
UGGCGACCGGCGCACGGGUGCGUAACGCGUAUGCAACCUACCUUUAACAGGGGGAUAACACUGAGAAAUUGGUACUAAUACCCCAUAAUAUCAUAGAAGGCAUCUUUUAUGGUUGAAAAUUCCGACGGUUAGAGAUGGGCAUGCGUUGUAUUAGCUAGUUGGUGGGGUAACGGCUCACCAAGGCGACGAUACAUAGGGGGACUGAGAGGUUAACCCCCCACACUGGUACUGAGACACGGACCAG